Molecule: ribosomal RNA, 484 nt
Filed under: uncultured bacterium
Lineage: Bacteria
Description: partial 16S ribosomal RNA
Rfam family: Bacterial small subunit ribosomal RNA
Source: RNAcentral
AUUGAACGCUGGCGGAAUGCUUUACACAUGCAAGUCGAACGGCAGCACGGGGGCAACCCUGGUGGCGAGUGGCGAACGGGUGAGUAAUACAUCGGAACGUGCCCGGUCGUGGGGGAUAACGUAGCGAAAGUUACGCUAAUACCGCAUACGAUCUGAGGAUGAAAGCGGGGGACCUUCGGGCCUCGCGCGAUCGGAGCGGCCGUUGUCAGAUUAGGUAGUUGGUGGGGUAAAGGCCUACCAAGCCGACGAUCUGUAGCUGGUCUGAGAGGACGACCAGCCACACUGGGACUGAGACACGGCCCAGACUCCUACGGGAGGCAGCAGUGGGGAAUUUUGGACAAUGGGCGCAAGCCUGAUCCAGCCAUUCCGCGUGCAGGACGAAGGCCUUCGGGUUGUAAACUGCUUUUGUAUGGAACGAAAAGGCUCUGGCUAAUACCUGGGGCUCAUGACGGUACCGUAAGAAUAAGCACCGGCUAACUACGUG